Molecule: long non-coding RNA, 1497 nt
Filed under: Mus musculus (house mouse)
Lineage: Eukaryota; Metazoa; Chordata; Mammalia; Rodentia; Muridae
Description: long non-coding RNA chr6:141507408-141508905
Source: RNAcentral
UGAGGUUCUUUUUCUUCUCACCACAAACUAAUCUUCUUCCAAAAAGAAACACACAUUCUCAUUACACCUAUUUAUCUUGGACAAAUAGAGUCUCUCUCUCUAACCUUUCCCUCUCCCACUAUCAGUAUGCAUGUGUACAUACAUGCAAGUUGUUUCAGUAAUGCCCAUUACCAUAAAAUAAAUCAAUGGCCAUCCCAUCUCAUCCCAUCUUAAGUUGUAUUAUAAACUCCACUGAUACAUUAUAAAGUGCCAACUUCCUACAGUGAGAUGCUGACUUUGUAAGGAAAAGAUAAAAUCCCUAGCAUAAGGGAUGUUGCUGAAUACAUCUUAUUGAAUUUGAGAACUAAGCUAGGAAAAAAAGGGGUCACUUCAGCCACUGCUCAGAUAGCAGUAGAGAAGAGAUGUGUAUAUCCCUGAUUCCAGUAGUUCUGCAGACGACCACUGCAUCUGCUUUUCAUGAUGUGGAGCUUGGGUUGUGGAGAUGAGAACCUAAUGAAAACAAUAACUCCAAUGUGAGAAGAAAACUUGCUGUAUUUUACAAUAGAUCUGAAGCCUCCGUCUUGCUGUUUAAAGGAGCUGAAUGUUCCUUUUGCCAUCCCUCUGGCUUAUUUCUACUGCUGAUCUCUGCCCAUGUUGAAGUCUUGUUAAGCUGAUCUGGCUGUGUGGACAGCUGAAUGUAGUUAGGAGGACCUUGCCUCAUGUUCACGGCUAAUGCUGUAGAGCAGAAUGACUCCUUUACGGUGUUUUUAAGUUGGCCAUUUUUUUCCCCUACUGGAGCUCUUUGAAGACUUGAGCUUGACCUUUGGUAGAUUUUGGAGGAAAUAGGGGUUAUAAAUUUAGUCUCUAUGCCUGACAGAGUAGAAUGCUGCACAGUUGGUGACUUAAGACAAUGUAGAUUUGUUUCUGCUUAGCAAUCACAAGUCUAUAGAUGGACAGGGCUAUAUCUAGAUGUGCAGCCCACUAAAUGUGUGUAUUUGAAGUUUGUCUUCAUGUGAUAAGGCAACCUCUUCCUUCUCACACCCACCUCUGCCACCAUAUCCACACCUAGUCCCAGAUCUUCUCUCAAACAGGCUUCCUUCACUAGCACUCUUUGCCUGGAAAAGGCUCUCCCAUCUUCCAUACAUCUUUCUACUCACCACCAUUUUCUUAUGCAAGACUGGCUCCAGACAUUCAGCACUUGCGUUUGAGCUAAGCUAAGGCAGACCAGAAUCUCACACCAGAUACAGCCAAAAAGGGAUCCACAAACCCACACCGUGUUGCAAAAACAAACAAUGGUCAAGACAGAAUGUCUCCCAUUAAAUCCACUAGUCCUAUAGAAAUGUUCUCUAAUAAGAUUUACCCAGGUAAGCCUUGAAUAGAAUUAAAAAAAAAUAGUAAAUGUUAUCAAAGAAGUCAAUGAGUUUAAAGAUGACAUCAAUAUAUACCUUAUUGGACUUCUUGAAUAUGUCACUGGAUAAGAUCUAAGAAAAUAUAGAUAUAAGGCUGAAUAAAAUGACA